CCCUCACACUCUCCUCUACCUCUCCCCCACGAAAAUGCUGCUGCCCCUUGCUCCCAUGGCCGGCCAUGGCCAUGGAAGGCACUCCAAGAUGAAGCUCCCUCCUCCCUCAAGCUCCUCCUCACCAUGAGGGCCUCCCUCUCCUUCUUCUCCCCAACCCUAGAUGGUUUUCUCUCCUCUUCCUCUUCCUCCAUUGCUAAGAUUGGAUCUUGAUGCAGGUGCAUGUUGGUCCAAGCAUGGAGAAGCUUGAGCUAUCCUCAGAUCUGAAGUUCUUGAGCAAAAUCCAAAUCGAGUGAUUCAAAGUUCCGCAGAUAGAUACGGAAAAGAUCUACAACUUGGCGUUGGUCUCAUCCUCAAAUUCGUUACGGAUUGUCCGUGGUGAAAGCCCUCUUCAAUACCUUCAUUUUGUCUGUGGUUUCACUUCGAUUGACCUCCUGAAACUGAAAUGGUUCACAGGUCAAGAUCUGGUCAGAUCUGACUUUGUCGAAUUAAACCAGGAGCUUGGGAACGAAUCUUUGAGUGAAACAAAUUGGGGGAUGUUUGGUUUAUACCAUGGUGAUAACCGAGAGAGGCAAUUGCUAAGUUGUGAUACUCUCAUACCUUUACUAG
Lolium perenne is the source of this 606-nucleotide long non-coding RNA. RefSeq lists it as uncharacterized. The record is from RefSeq and is a predicted model, not a curated record. NCBI's taxonomy places the organism in Eukaryota, Viridiplantae, Streptophyta, Magnoliopsida, Poales, Poaceae.